Molecule: RNA transcript, 2085 nt
Organism: Mastomys coucha (southern multimammate mouse)
Lineage: Eukaryota; Metazoa; Chordata; Mammalia; Rodentia; Muridae
Exons: 2
Source: RefSeq, a predicted model, not a curated record
AUGGUGGCCUGGGACUUUCAGAAGCAAACAAGCACUGAGCCACCUCUCCCCAAUACAGGCCCCAAGCAACAUUCAGAGACCUCCAGGGCCCCCUCCUGGAUAAACCAAUCCCACUGGCCCCUGCCAUCAAGGUGGAAAACGGGGGGUCUUCUGUCUGGAAUGCUCAAGAGCAAAAGCCAAGCUCAUCCUUAUCCAGCUUAGAGGUCCAGGCACGUGUGGAGUCCUGCCAUUCAGCAACCAUUCAGAAGCCCCUAAAGAUUGUCCGUAGUACCGGAGCACCCCAAAGCACUGAAAGCCUCGUGAAGAGCACACAGAGCCUCAAGCCAGAGGUAUGCAGUAUCGACACCCUGUCAAGCAGUGGCUAUGAAGCCGACGGGGAGUACAGCAAGGACAGCCUGGUUAACAGGAAGCAAACAGUGAGGCUGACUAAGCAGCUCCCCAUCCGGGUUGAGAGCAGUGAGAUAUUAUUCAUCGUGCCCCAUCUCAGCCCAUUCAAGAUCCGAAGGCUGGCCAAGAAAGGCCAGUGCACCCAGAAGUCUGGAGGGGAAAAGUGAGAGCAGCCUGCCAGGCAGCAGAGUCAGCAGCCUGAGUAGCAUCAGCUUCCUCAGCCCAGGCAGCAGUUUCCUGUCCUACCAGGUGAGCAGUGGCCUGCUCAGCACCAGCAGCAGCAGCAACAGCAGCAGCAGCAACAGCAGCAGGCCCUCCAGCAAGGCCAAUAGUAGCCAGAACAUUCAGGUGGACUGUAAUGAGCAGAGGGAGCCGAGAAGCAACACCAACCUCCAGGAGGACAAGGCCAGGGAUCCUGUGGAAAGCAGCAGCCAGUCCACCCAGGCUGAGCAACCGACCCAGGAGCCCAUGCCUUUAUGAGGAGAUUUCUCAGCUGCUAGUAUCUAGACACUAGGGCCCUACAAACACCGGUUCACCCGGAAUGACCACUGGCAACAUAAGUAGGAAAAACUGAAGACGUGGGAGCUGUGUCUUCUAUAGCCAUGGCCAUCAACAGACAGGUCACACACAGGACUGUCUGCUGAGAAGUAGGUGAAGUGGACCAUCUGUAUGGGAAGGUAUUGUGAGAAGAGCUGGAGCAAGAACCAUCAUCCAUGCCAGGCCAUCUUUAUCAAGCCACCCGUGGGAAGAGCAUCAAGCUUUGUAAGUCUCAGCACAGGCUAUCUAUAAGAUCCAUCGAAAUUAUCAGCACCAAGAUCAGUAGUGACAAUUGACAACUGUUUUAAGAACUGUUAGAAGGCAGGACAUUCCACAAUGAACCCAUUAUAAACAAUGAGUACCAUUUACAACUGCCAUGUGCUCAGAAGAAACAUGUCACCUAUCCUGGGAGUAGCUUAGGUCCAGAAGCGUCUGGAAUGAUAAGGACCCUGCAUGGGGAUCUAUAACCAUGGGGAACUCCAUCCCUACUGAGCUCUGUAAUGUGCAGGCACUGCCCAUGGAAGCCCCAACCGGGGGAUACUGUACACAAAGAACAUCCACGACUCCCAGAAGUGUAGCCCAGCCCAUCUGGGAGACCGUCAAAAGCAGCUGGGAGUACCACUGGCCCCAGGGCAGUGUCUAGAGAGAACUUUGAGGGGAUAUGUCAAAGGACCCAGGUGCCCAAACAACCCAUGGAAGAGCUAUGCUUCCCUGUCUAAUUCUUUCUGGGCAUCUGUACCCCACAUUCCAUCCAGGAACAAAGGUUGAGCUCACUGUUCCUGUCUCUAUGAUGGCCUCAGAAAAGCAGAAAUCAGAAGCCAGGGACAGCCCUUUUGCUCAGAUGGUUGGAACCAGGCUCCCUGUGGCAGUAUGUAACAGUAAACAGCCACCAUAGACUCAGAGACCGGCCUGCAGGAACUGCUGAGGCAGAAACUCUACACCAUGGACAAGUGCUGCAUAAGUGGAUAAGAGGCCUAAGGCUCUAGCCCCUGCCCUUUUCAGAACAGUGGAACUGUUCCCUGGGCUAAGCACAUAGAUUCAGGAAACAAAAGGGUACACAAAGAGAAGAGGCUAGUGGCAGCCAAUGGAAGCAUCCACCAGGCACCAGAAGGAAAGUUGAGGGGGCACCAAACACAAUAAAUGGUGUCUGGAGAGGUCACA